GGAAGUGGUAGCUUAGUAGUUAAGGCAUUGGAUUACUAAUCGGAAGAUCAUGAGUUUAAAUCCCAGCACCACCA
Non-coding RNA from Pangasianodon gigas (Mekong giant catfish), 74 nucleotides. The record is from the annotation of a GenBank genome assembly. NCBI's taxonomy places the organism in Eukaryota, Metazoa, Chordata, Actinopteri, Siluriformes, Pangasiidae.